CGGGGGGGGGGGGUGGCGGGGAGGGGCGGCGCGGACUCAGCCUUCUCAGGGAGCAUUUUUCUGGGUUCUGGCGGGGAGGCCAGGCAGGCACAUGUGGGUUUUGAGAAAAGAGCUGGAUGGGGAAUGAACCGUAUCUUUUAUUGCCCCCUUUCAGCCCCCCUUUCUCCGCCUGUCGCACUCCUCCCCGCACCCUGCACCCCGCCCCCACCAUUUUGGCAUAAAGAGCCGAAGGGGUAAGAGGACAGAGUUGUCAUGGCAACUCCCCACACUUCCUGGGCCAAUGGAAGAAAGCCAGGAGGAAGGAGAAAGAGGCCAGUGUAUUGGGGUGGCAAAGAAGAGGCAGCAGAGUUGUGCCCCACUGCCUUCUGUCUCCUGGCUCCAAAUUCCUUGCUCUCAUAACUGUUUCUAUUUGUGUUUGUCUCGGUGCGGCAGGUUCACAGACUACCACCAUACGCUGGCUACAGCCGAAUGCUUCGAGAAGAGCCCCCCCCGCACCCCCCCCCCACUUCGGUCCCGCUGCGCCCCUUUCCUGGACUCCGGACUCAUCUCUAUCAGCUUAGGCAUCUCUCAGCGCUCAGAGCUCAGCGCCGCCCGCCCGCCCGGGAGUCUUCGUUGACACUGGCGUCCCAACCCGAUUUGUCUCCCGCUAUAAAAUAAGCCGCCCUUCGAGAGGAGAGCUCCUGGUAGUCCUAUUUCUACUUUCCAAGUCGUGUGUGGAGCUAUCUACAGCUAGGCUGCUGUAGACCCGGACCACAAUUCUUGAUACUUGUCAACAUUUGACCUUUCCAUUUUCCUUGGGAGGUAGGCAGGCAGGCAGGAAGUAACAUUCCCUUUUACAGAUGAGAAAGGUGAGGCCAAGAGAACAAAAGUCACAUAGCUGGUACACUUCCAUUCCUGACUGAACUGGGGCAGGGCAUCUCCAAAUACAAAUGCUUCCCCCACCCAAUCUCAUUCAAAUAGCCAAGUGGGGAAGGGAUGGUUUCACUAAGGGUGAGAACCCAUUAAAGCUGGAAGCAAACACUGA
RNAcentral lists this long non-coding RNA (1024 nucleotides) under Homo sapiens (human). RNAcentral's name for it is "HSALNT0359696". Lineage: Eukaryota; Metazoa; Chordata; Mammalia; Primates; Hominidae. The record is from RNAcentral.